GAUGAACGCUGGCGGCGUGCCUAAUACAUGCAAGUCGAGCGAAUGACGAGAAGCUUGCUUCUCUGAUUUAGCGGCGGACGGGUGAGUAACACGUGGGCAACCUGCCCUACAGAUCGGGAUAACUCAGGGAAACCUGGGCUAAUACCGGAUAAUCCUUCGAAUCACAUGUUUUGAAGUUGAAAGGCGCUUCGGCGUCACUGUAGGAUGGGCCCGCGGUGCAUUAGCUAGUUGGUGGGGUAACGGCCUACCAAGGCAACGAUGCAUAGCCGACCUGGGAGGGUGGUCGGCCACAUUGGGACUGAGACACGGCCCAAACUCCUACGGGAGGCAGCAGUAGGGAAUCUUCCACAAUGGACGAAAGUCUGAUGGAGCAACGCCGCGUGAGUGAUGAAGGUUUUCGGAUCGUAAAACUCUGUUGUAAGGGAAGAACAAGUACGUUAGGAAAUGAACGUACCUUGACGGUACCUUAUUAGAAAGCCACGGCUAACUACGUGCCAGCCGCCGCAGUAA
Molecule: ribosomal RNA, 510 nt
Filed under: uncultured bacterium
Lineage: Bacteria
Description: partial 16S ribosomal RNA
Rfam family: Bacterial small subunit ribosomal RNA
Source: RNAcentral